UAAGGAAUAUUGGUCAAUGGACGGAAGUCUGAACCAGCCAUGCCGCGUGCAGGAAGACUGCCCUAUGGGUUGUAAACUGCUUUUAUACGGGAACAAACGUCGGUACGUGUACCGGUCUGAGUGUACCGUAAGAAUAAGGAUCGGCUAACUCCGUGCCAGCAGCCGCGGUAAUACGGAGGAUCCGAGCGUUAUCCGGAUUUAUUGGGUUUAAAGGGUGCGUAGGCGGCCUGUUAAGUCAGGAGUGAAAGACGGCAGCUCAACUGUCGCAGUGCUCUUGAUACUGACGGGCUUGAAUGCCGUUGAAGAUGGCGGAAUGAGACAAGUAGCGGUGAAAUGCAUAGAUAUGUCUUCAGAACCCCGAUUGCGAAGGCAGCUGUCUAAGCGGUAAUUUGACGCUGAUGCACGAAAAGCGUGGGGAGCAAACA
RNAcentral lists this ribosomal RNA (425 nucleotides) under uncultured Sphingobacterium sp. RNAcentral describes it as "bacterial SSU rRNA". It matches the Rfam family "Bacterial small subunit ribosomal RNA", at positions 355 to 774 of the family's 1533-position model. Lineage: Bacteria; Pseudomonadati; Bacteroidota; Sphingobacteriia; Sphingobacteriales; Sphingobacteriaceae. The record is from RNAcentral.